Molecule: long non-coding RNA, 513 nt
Organism: Lytechinus pictus (painted urchin)
Lineage: Eukaryota; Metazoa; Echinodermata; Echinoidea; Temnopleuroida; Toxopneustidae
Exons: 3
Source: RefSeq, a predicted model, not a curated record
UUGACCCCUAUCGUCACUUCGGCUUAAUCAAGGGCUGAAAGGUGACGUCACCCGCACAGAAGAAGGUUAUUUCCUUGAAAGAUUUUCGACAUAGAACAUGAUGCUGCUUCACAUCCUCUUUUAAAGACUCAAGAAUUACAAGACCAAAUUAAGCUGCAGGACCCUCCUGAUUCAAAAAGACAUGGAACAUGACUCUGCUUCACAUCCUUUGUUUUAGAGACUCAAGAAAUACAAGACCAAAUUAAGGGUUUGUUUUUUUAAUUCCAAUAAUAAUUUUCUGGUGGAAGAAUUAGGGAAUAAUGCAUUGACAAUAUACCAAACAUCCUAUAUCAAACUGAAUUACUGCAUGUAUUUACAAUAGAGUAUUGUAACCGCUUCCCCCUCACCACUGACCAAACAAAACCCACAAACAAUUUAAGAGGGAUAGGGUUAUUUUAGGGGUAAUUAUCCUUGCUGAUUGUAGCAGUAGUUUUUACAAAUAUGGAUGUAGAUAAUGAUGAAUAAAUGUGAUAA